RNAcentral lists this ribosomal RNA (500 nucleotides) under uncultured bacterium. Its description in RNAcentral is "partial 16S ribosomal RNA". It matches the Rfam family "Bacterial small subunit ribosomal RNA", at positions 30 to 523 of the family's 1533-position model. The record is from RNAcentral.
AUUGAACGCUGGCGGAAUGCUUUACACAUGCAAGUCGAACGGCAGCACGAACUUCGGUCUGGUGGCGAGUGGCGAACGGGUGAGUAAUGUAUCGGAACGUGCCCAGUCGUGGGGGAUAACGUAGUGAAAAUUACGCUAAUACCGCAUACGAUCUAUGGAUGAAAGCGGGGGAUCGCAAGACCUCGCGCGAUUGGAGCGGCCGAUAUCAGAUUAGGUAGUUGGUGGGGUAAAGGCCCACCAAGCCAACGAUCUGUAGCUGGUCUGAGAGGACGACCAGCCACACUGGAACUGAGACACGGUCAAGACUCCUACGGGAGGCAUCAGUGGGGAAUUUUGGACAAUGGGCGAGAGCCUGAUCCAGCCAUUCCGCGGGCAGAGUGAAGGCCCUCGGGUUGUAAACUGCUUUUGUACAGAACGAAAAGGUUUCUACUAAUACUAGGAGCUCAUGACGGUACUGUAAGAAUAAGCACCGGCUAACUACGUGCCAGCCGCCGCAGUAA